ACGGCCAUACCACAUUGAAAACACCGGUUCUCAUCAGAUCACCAAAGUUAAGCAAUGUCCGGCCCGGUCAGUACUUGGGAGGGUGACCACCUGGAAGUAACUGUAGGCUUCUC
RNAcentral lists this ribosomal RNA (113 nucleotides) under Cordylochernes scorpioides. The record is from RNAcentral. Lineage: Eukaryota; Metazoa; Arthropoda; Arachnida; Pseudoscorpiones; Chernetidae.